UUUAUUGGAGAGUUUGAUCCUGGCUCAGGAUGAACGCUGGCGGCGUGCCUAAUACAUGCAAGUCGAGCGAAUGGAUUAAGAGCUUGCUCUUAUGAAGUUAGCGGCGGACGGGUGAGUAACACGUGGGUAACCUGCCCAUAAGACUGGGAUAACUCCGGGAAACCGGGGCUAAUACCGGAUAACAUUUUGAACCGCAUGGUUCGAAAUUGAAAGGCGGCUUCGGCUGUCACUUAUGGAUGGACCCGCG
RNAcentral lists this ribosomal RNA (247 nucleotides) under Bacillus anthracis (anthrax bacterium). RNAcentral's name for it is "partial 16S ribosomal RNA". It matches the Rfam family "Bacterial small subunit ribosomal RNA", at positions 1 to 235 of the family's 1533-position model. Lineage: Bacteria; Bacillati; Bacillota; Bacilli; Caryophanales; Bacillaceae. The record is from RNAcentral.